GUUAAAACAGCUGUUUUCGUACGAUCACCGAAGUUAAGCAACGUUGGGCCUGGUCAGUACCUAGAUGAAUUGUCACUUGGGAAUACCAAGUGCUGUAAG
Non-coding RNA from Acanthosepion pharaonis, 99 nucleotides. Lineage: Eukaryota; Metazoa; Mollusca; Cephalopoda; Sepiida; Sepiidae. The record is from the annotation of a GenBank genome assembly.